RNAcentral lists this ribosomal RNA (626 nucleotides) under uncultured bacterium. Its description in RNAcentral is "bacterial SSU rRNA". It matches the Rfam family "Bacterial small subunit ribosomal RNA", at positions 225 to 847 of the family's 1533-position model. The record is from RNAcentral.
CUGGGCAUGCGGCGCAUUAGCUUGACGGCGGGGUAACGGCCCACCGUGGCGACGAUGCGUAGGGGUUCUGAGAGGAAGGCCCCCCACACUGGAACUGAGACACGGUCCAGACUCCUACGGGAGGCAGCAGUGAGGAAUAUUGGUCAAUGGGCGGAAGCCUGAACCAGCCAAGUCGCGUGAGGGAAUAAGGCCCUACGGGUCGUAAACCUCUUUUGCCGGGGAGCAAGGGCCGGGACGCGUCCCGGCCCGGAGAGUACCCGGAGAAAAAGCAUCGGCUAACUCCGUGCCAGCAGCCGCGGUAAUACGGAGGAUGCGAGCGUUAUCCGGAUUUAUUGGGUUUAAAGGGUGCGUAGGCGGGCUUUUAAGUCAGCGGUAAAAAUUCGGGGCUCAACCCCGUCCGGCCGUUGAAACUGGGGGCCUUGAGUGGGCGAGAAGAAGGCGGAAUGCGUGGUGUAGCGGUGAAAUGCAUAGAUAUCACGCAGAACCCCGAUUGCGAAGGCAGCCUUCCGGCGCCCUACUGACGCUGAGGCACGAAAGUGCGGGGAUCGAACAGGAUUAGAUACCCUGGUAGUCCGCACAGUAAACGAUGGAUGCCAGCUGUCCGGGCCGAAUGGGGCCUGGGUGGC